Molecule: ribosomal RNA, 440 nt
Filed under: uncultured bacterium
Lineage: Bacteria
Description: partial 16S ribosomal RNA
Rfam family: Bacterial small subunit ribosomal RNA
Source: RNAcentral
CCUACGGGAGGCAGCAGUGGGGGAUAUUGCACAAUGGGGGAAACCCUGAUGCAGCGACGCCGCGUGGGUGAAGAAGCGCCUCGGCGCGUAAAGCCCUGUCAGCAGGGAAGAAAAUGACGGUACCUGAAGAAGAAGCCCCGGCUAACUACGUGCCAGCAGCCGCGGUAAUACGUAGGGGGCAAGGGUUAUCCGGAUUUACUGGGCGUAAAGGGGGCGCAGACGGCGAUGCAAGCAAGGAGUGAAAGCCCGGGGCCCAACCCCGGGACUGCUCUUGAAACUGCGUGGCGAGAGUGCAGGAGGGGCAGGCGGAAUUCCUGGUGUAGCGGUGAAAUGCGUAGAUAUCAGGAGGAACACCGGUGGCGAAGGCGGCCUGCUGGACUGCAACUGACGUUGAGGCCCGAAAGCGUGGGGAGCAAACAGGAUUAGAUACCCGGGUAGUC